Molecule: unclassified non-coding RNA, 64 nt
Organism: Gopherus agassizii (Agassiz's desert tortoise)
Lineage: Eukaryota; Metazoa; Chordata; Testudines; Testudinidae
Source: Ensembl
GAUCAGGUACAACAGAGGCAGCAGCAGUGCAAGCUUCCCCACACUGCUUUGUCUCUCUUAGGUC